Molecule: ribosomal RNA, 465 nt
Filed under: uncultured Klebsiella sp.
Lineage: Bacteria; Pseudomonadati; Pseudomonadota; Gammaproteobacteria; Enterobacterales; Enterobacteriaceae
Description: bacterial SSU rRNA
Rfam family: Bacterial small subunit ribosomal RNA
Source: RNAcentral
CCUACGGGGUGCUGCAGUGGGGAAUAUUGCACAAUGGGCGCAAGCCUGAUGCAGCCAUGCCGCGUGUGUGAAGAAGGCCUUCGGGUUGUAAAGCACUUUCAGCGGGGAGGAAGGCGGUGAGGUUAAUAACCUCAUCGAUUGACGUUACCCGCAGAAGAAGCACUGGCUAACUCCGUGCCAGCAGCCGCGGUAAUACGGAGGGUGCAAGCGUUAAUCGGAAUUACUGGGCGUAAAGCGCACGCAGGCGGUCUGUCAAGUCGGAUGUGAAAUCCCCGGGCUCAACCUGGGAACUGCAUUCGAAACUGGCAGGCUAGAGUCUUGUAGAGGGGGGUAGAAUUCCAGGUGUAGCGGUGAAAUGCGUAGAGAUCUGGAGGAAUACCGGUGGCGAAGGCGGCCCCCUGGACAAAGACUGACGCUCAGGUGCGAAAGCGUGGGGAGCAAACAGGAUUAGAUACCCCAGUAGUC